Molecule: ribosomal RNA, 779 nt
Filed under: uncultured Neocallimastigales
Lineage: Eukaryota; Fungi; Neocallimastigomycota; Neocallimastigomycetes; Neocallimastigales
Description: partial large subunit ribosomal RNA
Rfam family: Eukaryotic large subunit ribosomal RNA
Source: RNAcentral
AUAUCAGUCAUGCAUAGCAUAUCAAUAAGCGGAGGAAAAGAAACUAACUAAGGAUUUCCCUCAGUAACGGCGAGUGAAGCGGGAAGAGCUCAAAUUUGAAAUCUUCAAGGGUUCUACCUUUACGAAUUGUAGUUUAAAGAAGUGUUUUCUGUUGGAGUUUCGGUAAAAGUUCUUUGGAAUAGGACAUCAUAGAGGGUGAGAAUCCCGUAUUUGGUCAUUCCUCCUAGCGUUGUGAUACACUUUCAACGAGUCGGAUUGUUUGGGAAUGCAGUCCAAAAUGGGUGGUAAAUUUCAUCUAAAGCUAAAUAUUGGCGAGAGACCGAUAGCGAACAAGUACCGUGAGGGAAAGAUGAAAAGAACUUUGAAAAGAGAGUUAAACAGUACGUGAAAUUGUCAAAAGGGAAGCGUUUGACACCAGUGUUGUUUUUCCGAAAAUCAAUUAUGAAUGUUUUGUUUUUGAGGAGUUAUGACUUCAUCGGCUUGCUCCUUUCUUUAUGAAACUUUCUUAAUGCACUUUUCGGUUAACAAGUCAACAUCAAUUUCUUUUGUUGUAAAAGGGUAUGAGGAAGGUGGCCUUCUUUUCGGAGAAAGUGUUUAUAGCCUUGUGCCUCUGCAAUCGGAGAGAUUGAGGUCUGCAGCGUAGAUCCUUCGGGGUUAGAUACAUUUGUAGCUAAGUUAUAGCUUUUCAUAGACAACUUGUUGACUAUGUUUAGUCUUGUAGCUUACUCGCUUACUGCUAUUUUACCUACGCUUAGGAUGUUGAUCUCUCACAGUCGAGC